AGUGAACGCUGGCGGUAGGCCUAACACAUGCAAGUCGAACGGCAGCACAGUAAGAGCUUGCUCUUACGGGUGGCGAGUGGCGGACGGGUGAGGAAUACAUCGGAAUCUACUUUUUCGUGGGGGAUAACGUAGGGAAACUUACGCUAAUACCGCAUACGACCUACGGGUGAAAGCAGGGGAUCUUCGGACCUUGCGCGAUUGAUUGAGCCGAUGUCGGAUUAGCUAGUUGGCGGGGGAAAGGCCCACCAAGGCGACGAUCCGUAGCUGGUCUGAGAGGAUGAUCAGCCACACUGGAACUGAGACACGGUCCAGACUCCUACGGGAGGCAGCAGUGGGGAAUAUUGGACAAUGGGCGCAAGCCUGAUCCAGCCAUACCGCGUGGGUGAAGAAGGCCUUCGGGUUGUAAAGCCCUUUUGUUGGGAAAGAAAAGCAGCAGGUUAAUACCCCGCUGUUCUGACGGUACCCAAAGAAUAAGCACCGGCUAACUUCGUG
RNAcentral lists this ribosomal RNA (492 nucleotides) under uncultured bacterium. RNAcentral's name for it is "partial 16S ribosomal RNA". It matches the Rfam family "Bacterial small subunit ribosomal RNA", at positions 29 to 507 of the family's 1533-position model. The record is from RNAcentral.